CUUAAUGUUAAUUUCAAAAAUUCUACUCACAUUAGUAAUAUUUACAAUUGUAACAGCACAAAAUGAUUUCUGUACCUUUAUGUUUAAUUUUGUAGAGCCUCCGAAGAUGGCGUAGAUCGCCGAAACGCGUCAGGCGUUAAAACAUACAUGACUUUUUCAUAUUUAUACAUAUUGAUAACAAGGAUCCACAAAAUGAAUUUUAGAAUUUAGUUUGAUUUGGGUUAGUAUGAACAAUUUUUUGGAGUAUAUUCCAAAAGAAAUGCGAGAAUAUUAUAUUAAGGUUUAUAUCAGCAAGAUGUUUAAACAUGUAACCAUAAAAAAUGGAAAUUAUUCUUACGAAAUAAAUUUUUUAACUGUCCUAGCAACAAAAUGUUAUAUUUAAACACAGAGGAGUAAAUAGAAGUAUUUAUCAAUAAAUAAUAUCUUAUCUUUGAUAAUCAUAAUAAGCGUUUCCUUCUUAAUUGAUAGGAAGCCUUUAAAACAUCCCCAUUUUCGUGAUUGUUGUAAUUUUUACUUGCAGCAAUGUUCAAUCCAGUCACUUUCUCUGAAAAUAAUUACAACACGGUCAUUCAAGCAAAUUCGUUUUUAGUAAACUAUAAAGAUCGCUUCAAAUGGUUUGAUAAUGAAAUAAUGUUAGAUAUUGGUUGCUCAAAUGGAUGUGUUACCCAAGAAUCGCUCUAUCCAUUCGUAAAGCCUCAUUUAAAACAUCUAAUUGGAGCUGAUAUUUCUCAACAUGCUAUAGAUGUAGCAAAUGUAACUUAUAAAACGUCUACAUUAUCGUUUCAAGUAAUGGAUAUAAUCGAUAGUGAGCAAUGUGAAAAGGAUCUUGAGAAGUUUCAUCACAUUUUUGCGUUUUAUCUAUUUCAUCUUUUACCGAGAUCAGAUUUAUCCACGUAAUAUAGUAAACAUUUGCAUGGCGGAUCAAAGAAAUGAUGAAACAAAGCCGUGGUCAAAGUACAUAAAAAAUCUUCCAGAUUUAUUUAUUGAUUUUGGUCCAAACCCCAAAGAAACAAUUUCAGAUAUUUUAAAAGAAGCUGGAUUUAUUAUAGACGUGAUGGAUGUGCAAUCCGUUACCUUCUCUUUUCCAGAAGUCCAUUUAUUGCGAAGUAUUUUUUUAAAUUUCUAUUGAAAUGGUAUUAUUUUUGAAAUUUUCAGAUACUUUAGUGGGCGGAAACCACUUUUUGAACCACAUUCCUAUGGAAUUACGUGAUGAGUACAUUGAAGAUUGUAUUGACAAAUUAAUCAAGCAAUUGAAAAAUGAAGAUGGCACCUAUAGUUGUUCAUUUGAUGUACUAACAGUAGUUGCAACUAAACCUUAAAUGCUUUACUUGCUUGAUACAUAAAUACUUUUAUAACCCAAUUUUAUCGAAGUUAAAAAAUAUAUUUCUUUAUUACUCUGUAA
This 1402-nucleotide unclassified non-coding RNA is filed under the name Onthophagus taurus. RNAcentral describes it as "juvenile hormone acid O-methyltransferase-like, transcript variant X1". The record is from RNAcentral. Lineage: Eukaryota; Metazoa; Arthropoda; Insecta; Coleoptera; Scarabaeidae.